GAUAUGACACUGAGCUUCACUGUGUUGGUGAAGAAGAGCUGCAGUUUGCCUCCACCUCUGAAGAAGCACAAUACACCUUUCUGGGUUACCAAUGGGAUACUUCCCAACAGCUUUGUCAUCACAUACAAUAUUCUCAAACAAGAUCUUAAUGGCAUCUACUUUCUCCAGGAACACAGCCCCUGACCUGUGUGUGUUUGCGUAGAGAAGGCAUGCUAUGUACCCCCUAGGAUAUGAAUCUGCCCACCACUCAAGCCUGGGAAAGCUGGCAGAGGAUGCACGUGUUUUACUCACCUGAGUGUUUACAAUGCUCGUGAGGUGCCUCCCUGAUAGUAAUGAUAGCAUCUCACAGUUCAGUUUAAGGAAGCAAUACAGAGACAUGCAAAUCAUCCCUAAGACAUGAGUACUCCAUGUGAGGGUGUUGUGAGGGCCUAAGAAGAAAGACAAUCAUUUGGGACAACGUUCUGAGAAGGGAGAUGGUUGCUGCCCUCGUGGAUUUAACAGACUUGGUUAUGUGGCUAGUUUUCUUUUUCUUCUUCCAUACCUGAACUGUGGUACUCAAGAGAAUCAUCUGAAGCUUGUGUUGGACAGGACAGGCAAUAACUUCAAACUGAAUAAUGAGGCCCAAGAUGGACAGUCCCUCGUUGAGGGUCAGAGCCAGCACCCUUGUAGACUGUGACUACUAGGCCAACUCCUAGAGCUAGAGUUCCAUAUGGACAAGGACAAGCUCUAGCUAGAUCAGAGCAAUUUCAUCACAAAGCAAGUUUUAUUUUCAAUCAUCGCUGCAGACCACAAAGGUCAGGCUAAAUAUCGACAGAUCUCUAUUGUGGGAAAAUUUGGACUUUUGGCUUAUUAUCAGUACUCAACCUUGAUAGGCAGCACCAGAUUAACUGCUAAAGAUUCUAUGCAUCUUUAUCUCAUUAGCCUUUUACAUUUUAUCCUGUUUCUUAGCCUCGGCUGGGGGACGGGUACAGUCAACUCCCACUGGAGCAACAACAUAAAAGGUGGGAAGGAAAAUGUUUAUGUUGACACCAGGGUAGUGAAAGCUAUCCAAGCUAUGGGGAAUUUAAUGCUGAGGAAAGGCAAGAUCAGGGUGGAGCAUCCGGCUGGGGUAGCUGCCUUUCACUGGACCCCUACCAGCCCAGUUUGGGACAUGCAAGGGGAACAGCACAUAGAUAAAGCUUUCUCAAGGUUUAUGAAAGAACAGACGGCAGCACAGCUAACCUCCAGUGCAAAUAAAAAUCAUACAUUUAAGGAAA
Molecule: long non-coding RNA, 1256 nt
Filed under: Homo sapiens (human)
Lineage: Eukaryota; Metazoa; Chordata; Mammalia; Primates; Hominidae
Description: long intergenic non-protein coding RNA 616
Source: RNAcentral